This 375-nucleotide long non-coding RNA is filed under the name Helianthus annuus (common sunflower). Its description in RNAcentral is "hypothetical non coding rna". Lineage: Eukaryota; Viridiplantae; Streptophyta; Magnoliopsida; Asterales; Asteraceae. The record is from RNAcentral.
CACCCACCAGCCGAACACCACCCCCCUGUCAGUUGCAGAGCCGACCACCACCAUCGGGUGGUGGUCAGUGACGUUUGGACCGAGAAGUGAGAGAGAGAGGAGAGAGAGAGAGGAGAGCCGACGUUGUUCGAGCGGCAACAAGGCUGAGAAGAGAGAGAGGCAUAUGGACGAGAGAGAAAGAAGGGCGGCGGCAGCACCGCCGUACACGUCGGUGGUCGGCAGCGGUUCGGAAUGAUUUUCUGGCGGGGACCCGCCAGAGAAGAUGAUGGUGGCGGCGGUUUUGUUUCUCCUGACAGCUUCACGAUGAGAGGUUGAAAGGGACUGGCGGAGCGCUGAUUUGUGUGGUUGUUUCGAGCUCGGGUCAGGUUAAGGAUC